AACGAACGCUGGCGGCAUGCCUAACACAUGCAAGUCGAACGAGACCUUCGGGUCUAGUGGCGCACGGGUGCGUAACGCGUGGGAACCUGCCCUUAGGUUCGGAAUAACUCAGAGAAAUUUGAGCUAAUACCGGAUAAUGUCUUCGGACCAAAGAUUUAUCGCCUUUGGAUGGGCCCGCGUAGGAUUAGCUUGUUGGUGGGGUAAUGGCCUACCAAGGCGACGAUCCUUAGCUGGUCUGAGAGGAUGAUCAGCCACACUGGGACUGAGACACGGCCCAGACUCCUACGGGAGGCAGCAGUGGGGUAUAUUGGACAAUGGGCGAAAGCCUGAUACAGUAAUGCCGCGUGAGUGAUGAAGGCAGUAGGGUUGUAAAGCUCUUUUACCAGGGAUGAGAAUGACAGUACCUGGAGAAUAAGCUCCGGCUAACUCCGUG
RNAcentral lists this ribosomal RNA (433 nucleotides) under uncultured bacterium. Its description in RNAcentral is "partial 16S ribosomal RNA". It matches the Rfam family "Bacterial small subunit ribosomal RNA", at positions 29 to 507 of the family's 1533-position model. The record is from RNAcentral.